This 446-nucleotide ribosomal RNA is filed under the name uncultured bacterium. RNAcentral describes it as "bacterial SSU rRNA". It matches the Rfam family "Bacterial small subunit ribosomal RNA", at positions 331 to 793 of the family's 1533-position model. The record is from RNAcentral.
CCAGACUCCUACGGGAGGCAGCAGUGGGGAAUAUUGCACAAUGGGGGAAACCCUGAUGCAGCAACGCCGCGUGAAGGAAGACGGUUUUCGGAUUGUAAACUUCUGUUCUUAGUGAAGAAUAAUGACGGUAGCUAAGGAGCAAGCCACGGCUAACUACGUGCCAGCAGCCGCGGUAAUACGUAGGUGGCAAGCGUUGUCCGGAAUUACUGGGUGUAAAGGGAGCGCAGGCGGGAAGCCAAGUCAGCCGUGAAAGCUACGGGCUUAACUUGUAGACUGCAGUUGAAACUGGUUUUCUUGAGUGAAGUAGAGGUUGGCGGAAUUCCGAGUGUAGCGGUGAAAUGCGUAGAUAUCUGGAGGAACAUCAGUGGCGAAGGCGACUAUCUGGCACAUAACUGACGCUGAGGAGCGAAAGCGUGGGUAGCAAACAGGAUUAGAUACCCUUGUAA